This 465-nucleotide ribosomal RNA is filed under the name uncultured bacterium. Its description in RNAcentral is "bacterial SSU rRNA". It matches the Rfam family "Bacterial small subunit ribosomal RNA", at positions 330 to 792 of the family's 1533-position model. The record is from RNAcentral.
UCCAGACUCCUACGGGAGGCAGCAGUGAGGAAUAUUGGUCAAUGGCCGAGAGGCUGAACCAGCCAAGUCGCGUGAGGGAAGAAUGUCCUAUGGAUUGUAAACCUCUUUUGCCGGGGAGCAAGCGUGCGUUCGUGAACGCGCGUCGAGAGUACCCGGAGAAAAAGCAUCGGCUAACUCCGUGCCAGCAGCCGCGGUAAUACGGAGGAUGCGAGCGUUAUCCGGAUUUAUUGGGUUUAAAGGGUGCGUAGGCGGGAUGCCAAGUCAGCGGUAAAAUCGCGGGGCUCAACCUCGCUCCGCCGUUGAAACUGGCGUUCUUGAGUGGGCGAGAAGUAUGCGGAAUGCGUGGUGUAGCGGUGAAAUGCAUAGAUAUCGCGCAGAACUCCGAUUGCGAAGGCAGCAUGCCGGCUCCACACUGACGCUGAGGCACGAAAGCGUGGGUAUCGAACAGGAUUAGAUACCCGAGUA